AUACUUACCUUGUUCAGUCGAGAGAAGAUCAUGAAUUUCUCUCGGCAAAGAGGAUGGCCUACAUUGCACAACGUGGAGUCGGCCUCUUUCGAUUGUCCUUCGGGGCCAUCGUGGGCGGAAUUUUUGAUUUACAACCUUGUUUUCAUUGCUACAGC
RNAcentral lists this small nuclear RNA (155 nucleotides) under Verticillium dahliae VdLs.17. RNAcentral describes it as "Verticillium dahliae U1 spliceosomal RNA". It matches the Rfam family "U1 spliceosomal RNA". From Rfam's summary of the family: U1 is a small nuclear RNA (snRNA) component of the spliceosome (involved in pre-mRNA splicing). Its 5' end forms complementary base pairs with the 5' splice junction, thus defining the 5' donor site of an intron. The record is from RNAcentral. Lineage: Eukaryota; Fungi; Ascomycota; Sordariomycetes; Glomerellales; Plectosphaerellaceae. RNAcentral also lists the same sequence under 1 other name.